CAGCAGCCACGGGAAUACGAAGGGUGCAAGCGUUAAUCGGAAUUACUGGGCGUAAAGCGCACGCAGGCGGUUUGUUAAGUCAGAUGUGAAAUCCCCGGGCUCAACCUGGGAACUGCAUUUGUGACUGGCAAGCUAGAGUGUGGCAGAGGGGGGUGGAAUUCCGCGUGUAGCAGUGAAAUGCGUAGAUAUGCGGAGGAACACCGAUGGCGAAGGCAGCCCCCUGGGCCAACACUGACGCUCAUGCACGAAAGCGUGGGGAGCAAACAGGAUUAGAUACCCGCGUAGUCCCUGUCUCUUAUAC
RNAcentral lists this ribosomal RNA (301 nucleotides) under uncultured bacterium. RNAcentral's name for it is "partial 16S ribosomal RNA". It matches the Rfam family "Bacterial small subunit ribosomal RNA", at positions 509 to 807 of the family's 1533-position model. The record is from RNAcentral.